Molecule: ribosomal RNA, 491 nt
Filed under: uncultured bacterium
Lineage: Bacteria
Description: partial 16S ribosomal RNA
Rfam family: Bacterial small subunit ribosomal RNA
Source: RNAcentral
AGUGAACGCUGGCGGUAGGCCUAACACAUGCAAGUCGAACGGCAGCACAGUAAGAGCUUGCUCUUACGGGUGGCGAGUGGCGGACGGGUGAGGAAUACAUCGGAAUCUACUUUUUCGUGGGGGAUAACGUAGGGAAACUUACGCUAAUACCGCAUACGACCUACGGGUGAAAGCAGGGGAUCUUCGGACCUUGCGCGAUUGAAUGAGCCGAUGUCGGAUUAGCUGGUUGGCGGGGUAAGGGCCCACCAAGGCGACGAUCCGUAGCUGGUCUGAGAGGAUGAUCAGCCACACUGGAACUGAGACACGGUCCAGACUCCUACGGGAGGCAGCAGUGGGGAAUAUUGGACAAUGGGCGCAAGCCUGAUCCAGCCAUACCGCGUGGUGAAGAAGGCCUUCGGGUUGUAAAGCCCUUUUGUUGGGAAAGAAAAGCAGCAGGUUAAUACCCCGCUGUUCUGACGGUACCCAAAGAAUAAGCACCGGCUAACUUCGUG